RNAcentral lists this long non-coding RNA (268 nucleotides) under Mytilus galloprovincialis (Mediterranean mussel). The record is from RNAcentral. Lineage: Eukaryota; Metazoa; Mollusca; Bivalvia; Mytilida; Mytilidae.
UGAGAACACUGAGUUUAAAUUAGAUAAUAAUAAAUGGGAGAGUAUUAAUACUUAUAAAUGGACAGAACAAUCAAAGAACUUGGUGAUUAAUGCUCUAUCCACUGAUUAUAUCAGAGAAGAAAUUAUUAUUCUGGAAAUACUUGAUAUUAAUAAAACUGAAGAUGGUGUUGAUGAAGCAGUUGAAAAGCUAACACAUUUUUGCAAAAUAUUUCUGAGAUAGCAUGUAAGAAAUUUUUGGAAGUAACAAAAAAAAAGAAAGAAAAAAAAA